This 165-nucleotide ribosomal RNA is filed under the name uncultured bacterium. RNAcentral's name for it is "partial 16S ribosomal RNA". It matches the Rfam family "Bacterial small subunit ribosomal RNA", at positions 355 to 511 of the family's 1533-position model. The record is from RNAcentral.
UAGGGAAUCUUCGGCAAUGGACGAAAGUCUGACCGAGCAACGCCGCGUGAGUGAAGAAGGUUUUCGGAUCGUAAAACUCUGUUGGUGGAGAAGAACGUUGGUGAGAGUGGAAAGCUCAUCAAGUGACGGUAACUACCCAGAAAGGGACGGCUAACUACGUGCCCG